This 301-nucleotide ribosomal RNA is filed under the name Pseudomonas tolaasii. Its description in RNAcentral is "partial 16S ribosomal RNA". It matches the Rfam family "Bacterial small subunit ribosomal RNA", at positions 1 to 304 of the family's 1533-position model. Lineage: Bacteria; Pseudomonadati; Pseudomonadota; Gammaproteobacteria; Pseudomonadales; Pseudomonadaceae. The record is from RNAcentral.
GAACUGAAGAGUUUGAUCAUGGCUCAGAUUGAACGCUGGCGGCAGGCCUAACACAUGCAAGUCGAGCGGUAGAGAGAAGCUUGCUUCUCUUGAGAGCGGCGGACGGGUGAGUAAUGCCUAGGAAUCUGCCUGGUAGUGGGGGAUAACGUCCGGAAACGGACGCUAAUACCGCAUGCGUCCUACGGGAGAAAGCAGGGGACCUUCGGGCCUUGCGCUAUCAGAUGAGCCUAGGUCGGAUUAGCUAGUUGGUGAGGUAAUGGCUCACCAAGGCGACGAUCCGUAACUGGUCUGAGAGGAUGAU